RNAcentral lists this ribosomal RNA (1489 nucleotides) under Lactiplantibacillus plantarum. RNAcentral describes it as "bacterial SSU rRNA". It matches the Rfam family "Bacterial small subunit ribosomal RNA". Lineage: Bacteria; Bacillati; Bacillota; Bacilli; Lactobacillales; Lactobacillaceae. The record is from RNAcentral.
GACGAACGCUGGCGGCGUGCCUAAUACAUGCAAGUCGAACGAACUCUGGUAUUGAUUGGUGCUUGCAUCAUGAUUUACAUUUGAGUGAGUGGCGAACUGGUGAGUAACACGUGGGAAACCUGCCCAGAAGCGGGGGAUAACACCUGGAAACAGAUGCUAAUACCGCAUAACAACUUGGACCGCAUGGUCCGAGUUUGAAAGAUGGCUUCGGCUAUCACUUUUGGAUGGUCCCGCGGCGUAUUAGCUAGAUGGUGGGGUAACGGCUCACCAUGGCAAUGAUACGUAGCCGACCUGAGAGGGUAAUCGGCCACAUUGGGACUGAGACACGGCCCAAACUCCUACGGGAGGCAGCAGUAGGGAAUCUUCCACAAUGGACGAAAGUCUGAUGGAGCAACGCCGCGUGAGUGAAGAAGGGUUUCGGCUCGUAAAACUCUGUUGUUAAAGAAGAACAUAUCUGAGAGUAACUGUUCAGGUAUUGACGGUAUUUAACCAGAAAGCCACGGCUAACUACGUGCCAGCAGCCGCGGUAAUACGUAGGUGGCAAGCGUUGUCCGGAUUUAUUGGGCGUAAAGCGAGCGCAGGCGGUUUUUUAAGUCUGAUGUGAAAGCCUUCGGCUCAACCGAAGAAGUGCAUCGGAAACUGGGAAACUUGAGUGCAGAAGAGGACAGUGGAACUCCAUGUGUAGCGGUGAAAUGCGUAGAUAUAUGGAAGAACACCAGUGGCGAAGGCGGCUGUCUGGUCUGUAACUGACGCUGAGGCUCGAAAGUAUGGGUAGCAAACAGGAUUAGAUACCCUGGUAGUCCAUACCGUAAACGAUGAAUGCUAAGUGUUGGAGGGUUUCCGCCCUUCAGUGCUGCAGCUAACGCGUUAAGCAUUCCGCCUGGGGAGUACGGCCGCAAGGCUGAAACUCAAAGGAAUUGACGGGGGCCCGCACAAGCGGUGGAGCAUGUGGUUUAAUUCGAAGCUACGCGAAGAACCUUACCAGGUCUUGACAUACUAUGCAAAUCUAAGAGAUUAGACGUUCCCUUCGGGGACAUGGAUACAGGUGGUGCAUGGUUGUCGUCAGCUCGUGUCGUGAGAUGUUGGGUUAAGUCCCGCAACGAGCGCAACCCUUAUUAUCAGUUGCCAGCAUUAAGUUGGGCACUCUGGUGAGACUGCCGGUGACAAACCGGAGGAAGGUGGGGAUGACGUCAAAUCAUCAUGCCCCUUAUGACCUGGGCUACACACGUGCUACAAUGGAUGGUACAACGAGUUGCGAACUCGCGAGAGUAAGCUAAUCUCUUAAAGCCAUUCUCAGUUCGGAUUGUAGGCUGCAACUCGCCUACAUGAAGUCGGAAUCGCUAGUAAUCGCGGAUCAGCAUGCCGCGGUGAAUACGUUCCCGGGCCUUGUACACACCGCCCGUCACACCAUGAGAGUUUGUAACACCCAAAGUCGGUGGGGUAACCUUUUAGGAACCAGCCGCCUAAGGUGGGACAGAUGAUUAGGGUG